RNAcentral lists this ribosomal RNA (609 nucleotides) under uncultured Vibrio sp. RNAcentral describes it as "bacterial SSU rRNA". It matches the Rfam family "Bacterial small subunit ribosomal RNA", at positions 56 to 645 of the family's 1533-position model. The record is from RNAcentral. Lineage: Bacteria; Pseudomonadati; Pseudomonadota; Gammaproteobacteria; Vibrionales; Vibrionaceae.
UGCAGUCGAGCGGAAACGACUUAACUGAACCUUCGGGGAACGUUAAGGGCGUCGAGCGGCGGACGGGUGAGUAAUGCCUGGGAAUAUGCCUUAGUGUGGGGGAUAACUAUUGGAAACGAUAGCUAAUACCGCAUAAUGUCUUCGGACCAAAGAGGGGGACCUUCGGGCCUCUCGCGCUAAGAUUAGCCCAGGUGAGAUUAGCUAGUUGGUGAGGUAAGAGCUCACCAAGGCGACGAUCUCUAGCUGGUCUGAGAGGAUGAUCAGCCACACUGGAACUGAGACACGGUCCAGACUCCUACGGGAGGCAGCAGUGGGGAAUAUUGCACAAUGGGCGAAAGCCUGAUGCAGCCAUGCCGCGUGUAUGAAGAAGGCCUUCGGGUUGUAAAGUACUUUCAGUAGGGAGGAAGGUGUUGUAGUUAAUAGCUGCAGCAUUUGACGUUACCUACAGAAGAAGCACCGGCUAACUCCGUGCCAGCAGCCGCGGUAAUACGGAGGGUGCGAGCGUUAAUCGGAAUUACUGGGCGUAAAGCGCAUGCAGGUGGUUCAUUAAGUCAGAUGUGAAAGCCCGGGGCUCAACCUCGGAACCGCAUUUGAAACUGGUGAACUAGA